RNAcentral lists this ribosomal RNA (198 nucleotides) under uncultured bacterium. RNAcentral describes it as "partial 16S ribosomal RNA". It matches the Rfam family "Bacterial small subunit ribosomal RNA", at positions 328 to 539 of the family's 1533-position model. The record is from RNAcentral.
ACGCUCGACACCUACGGGAGGCGGCAGUGGGGAAUAUUGCACAAUGGGGGAAACCCUGAUGCAGCGACGCCGCGUGAGCGAAGAAGUAUUUCGGUAUGUAAAGCUCUAUCAGCAGGGAAGAAACUGACGGUACCUGACUAAGAAGCACCGGCUAAAUACGUGCCUGCAGCCGCGGUAAUCUGAGCGGGCUGGCAAGGC